CCUACGGGUGGCAGCAGUGAGGAAUAUUGGUCAAUGGACGAGAGUCUGAACCAGCCAAGUAGCGUGAAGGAUGACUGCCCUAUGGGUUGUAAACUUCUUUUAUCUGGGAAUAAAAUGUUCCACGUGUGGGAUUUUGUAUGUACCAUAUGAAUAAGGAUCGGCUAACUCCGUGCCAGCAGCCGCGGUAAUACGGAGGAUCCGAGCGUUAUCCGGAUUUAUUGGGUUUAAAGGGAGCGUAGGGGGAUUGUUAAGUCAGUUGUGAAAGUUUGCGGCUCAACCGUAAAAUUGCAGUUGAAACUGGCAGUCUUGAGUACGCGAGAGGUGGGCGGAAUGCGUGGUGUAGUGGUGAAAUGCUUAGAUAUCACGAAGAACUCCGAUUGCGAAGGCAGCUCACCGGACUGCAACUGACACUGAGGCACGAAAGUGUGGGUAUCGAACAGGAUUAGAUACCCGUGUAGUC
This 460-nucleotide ribosomal RNA is filed under the name uncultured bacterium. Its description in RNAcentral is "partial 16S ribosomal RNA". It matches the Rfam family "Bacterial small subunit ribosomal RNA", at positions 338 to 795 of the family's 1533-position model. The record is from RNAcentral.